GAUGAACGCUGGCGGCGUGCCUAAUACAUGCAAGUCGAGCGAACAGACGAGGAGCUUGCUCCUCUGACGUUAUCGGCGGACGGGUGAGUAACACGUGGAUAACCUACCUAUAAGACUGGGAUAACUUCGGGAAACCGGAGCUACUACCGGAUAAUAUAUUGAACCGCAUGGUUCAAUAGUUAAAGACGGUUUUGCUUUCACUUAUAGAUGGAUCCGCGCCGCAUUAGCUAGUUGGUAAGGUAACGGCUUACCAAGGCAGCGAUGCGUAGCCGACCUCAGAGGGUGGACGCCCACACUGGAAGUGAGACAGGGUCCCGACACCUGCAGUGGGACGCAGUACAGAAUCCUACGCAAUGCGGGAGAGCGUGACGGAGCAACAUCGCGUGAGUGCUGAACGACUUAUGAUCGGAAAACUCUGUUAUUAGGGAAGAACAAAUGUGUAAGUACCUAUGCACGUAUUGACGGUACCGGGUGAGAAAGCUACGGCUAACUCCGUG
RNAcentral lists this ribosomal RNA (497 nucleotides) under uncultured bacterium. RNAcentral describes it as "partial 16S ribosomal RNA". It matches the Rfam family "Bacterial small subunit ribosomal RNA", at positions 28 to 507 of the family's 1533-position model. The record is from RNAcentral.